This is a long non-coding RNA of Megalopta genalis, 1183 nucleotides long. RefSeq lists it as uncharacterized. Lineage: Eukaryota; Metazoa; Arthropoda; Insecta; Hymenoptera; Halictidae. The record is from RefSeq and is a predicted model, not a curated record.
UAAAAAGACGAAUACAUUUUUAUUUAAUUUCUGUUUCUUGCAAUUAAUUUUAUUUUGCAUAAUGAUCUAUAAUCUGCUAACGACGAACAUCGGAAGUCUCACCUUAGGAUCGCAACAUGGCGACCGGUAGCAGCACAACCUUUCCAAACUCCUCUCCCGAAAACCUGUUCCCCUAAUCACCCCGAAACUCGAUCUCCACGGAGCUGCAAACUCGAGUGUCCCGAAGUUGGCGUUUAAUCCUCGUGGUCGCGGAGCUUCGAAAGACGGUGCUGGUUCGUCAUAAACUGCGGGAGCCAAGGAAGAUAAUCGCGUUCGAGUACCGCAGCGACGUGCUGGUAGACCGGAUCCAGAAUCGGGCAGGCUGACGAGACGACGACGACGACGACGCUUCUCCGCGAUGCUUAAACGGAAGUUGGCUCAAGUUCUCAGCGGAUCCUGGACCGAUCCUUGCCAUUGGAUAUCGGCGAGGUUCACCUCGAGGUUUCGUCGGAGGCACGCAUGGCAAACGAUUCCCGCGCGGAUUAACGCGAACGAAGCUCUUAAUCCGCGCGUCGAGAUACUGCCGCCUCGCAAACAUCGCGCUACAGGCCAGGAGGCGUUCAAAAGCGACGUCGCUACGGAAACUCACCCCUUGUCUCGCGGCUUCCCUUCGGCCGCGUUCAACGGGAUAUAAUUAAAAAGGACUCUUAAAUAAUCGACGGCUCUAACAAGAGGCCUCCAACCCCAUUUCUCCGGCUCGUCUCCUCCCCUUCGAACUUUAUUGGGCAAACGAAGAUAUCCCGUCGCUGCUGGCAAAUUCCAUCUCGAAUCACUGGGUCACCGGUGCUAUCGCUCGGUCCGCGGCGCAAAAAAAGGAGGACCAUGAAAUCGGAUAAAAAAGGAAGGCACUCACGGUUAUCACGGGCUCCCUUCAAUCGCUGACUUCUGGCUUCCCGGUUCCCAGGUUUCCCGUUCGUCCAUUUCAUCCCAGAAAUAUAAUACCCGGCGUUAUUCCGAUUCGACUUUUUUGAUCUCGCCGAGCCGGGGCAGUUUUGGCCUCCCAGUUUCACGAUUCGCGGCACCAAAAAGUAUGUUUUGACAUUCUGCACUGCGAACAAGCCUCGGCCGGGUGCGGCUUUUCGAGGAAGCUAAAUAAUAUUUAUUUAGCUAAAUAUAUUUAUUUAGCGGGGAUGAGCUUUUGAGU